AUUGAACGCUGGCGGCAGGCCUAACACAUGCAAGUCGAAUGGUAACAGGAAACAGCUUGCUGUUUCGCUGACGAGUGGCGGACGGGUGAGUAAUGUCUGGGAAACUGCCUGAUGGAGGGGGAUAACUACUGGAAACGGUAGCUAAUACCGCAUAACGUCGCAAGACCAAAGAGGGGGACCUUCGGGCCUCUUGCCAUCAGAUGUGCCCAGAUGGGAUUAGCUAGUAGGUGGGGUAACGGCUCACCUAGGCGACGAUCCCUAGCUGGUCUGAGAGGAUGACCAGCCACACUGGAACUGAGACACGGUCCAGACUCCUACGGGAGGCAGCAGUGGGGAAUAUUGCACAAUGGGCGCAAGCCUGAUGCAGCCAUGCCGCGUGUAUGAAGAAGGCCUUCGGGUUGUAAAGUACUUUCAGCGGGGAGGAAGGGAGUAAAGUUAAUACCUUUGCUCAUUGACGUUACCCGCAGAAGAAGCACCGGCUAACUCCGUGCCAGCAGCCGCGGUAAUACGGAGGGUGCAAGCGUUAAUCGGAAUUACUGGGCGUAAAGCGCACGCAGGCGGUUUGUUAAGUCAGAUGUGAAAUCCCCGGGCUCAACCUGGGAACUGCAUCUGAUACUGGCAAGCUUGAGUCUCGUAGAGGGGGGUAGAAUUCCAGGUGUAGCGGUGAAAUGCGUAGAGAUCUGGAGGAAUACCGGUGGCGAAGGCGGCCCCCUGGACGAAGACUGACGCU
RNAcentral lists this ribosomal RNA (730 nucleotides) under uncultured Escherichia sp. RNAcentral's name for it is "bacterial SSU rRNA". It matches the Rfam family "Bacterial small subunit ribosomal RNA", at positions 28 to 747 of the family's 1533-position model. Lineage: Bacteria; Pseudomonadati; Pseudomonadota; Gammaproteobacteria; Enterobacterales; Enterobacteriaceae. The record is from RNAcentral.